UUGUCUUUGUCUGUGCUUUGUCUGCUCCCUUGGCUCAGCUCUAACAGGGUAGUCUGGCAGGACACACAGCAAUUUCCCACUCCUACUAGGAGGGUAUUCCCAAGAAUAGGGCUAGCUCUUAAAGGCACGAGAGGAUAAU
This 139-nucleotide small nucleolar RNA is filed under the name Castor canadensis (American beaver). RNAcentral describes it as "Small Cajal body specific RNA 11 (ENSCCNG00000029840.1)". It matches the Rfam family "Small Cajal body specific RNA 11". From Rfam's summary of the family: scaRNAs are a specific class of small nuclear RNAs which localise to the Cajal bodies and guide the modification of RNA polymerase II transcribed spliceosomal RNAs U1, U2, U4, U5 and U12. The record is from Rfam by way of RNAcentral. Lineage: Eukaryota; Metazoa; Chordata; Mammalia; Rodentia; Castoridae.